GAUGAACGCUGGCGGCGUGCCUAAUACAUGCAAGUCGAGCGAACAGAUAAGGAGCUUGCUCCUUUGACGUUAGCGGCGGACGGGUGAGUAACACGUGGGUAACCUACCUAUAAGACUGGGAUAACUUCGGGAAACCGGAGCUAAUACCGGAUAAUAUUUCGAACCGCAUGGUUCUAUAGUGAAAGAUGGUUUUGCUAUCACUUAUAGAUGGACCCGCGCCGUAUUAGCUAGUUGGUAAGGUAACGGCUUACCAAGGCGACGAUACGUAGCCGACCUGAGAGGGUGAUCGGCCACACUGGAACUGAGACACGGUCCAGACUCCUACGGGAGGCAGCAGUAGGGAAUCUUCCGCAAUGGGCGAAAGCCUGACGGAGCAACGCCGCGUGAGUGAUGAAGGUCUUCGGAUCGUAAAACUCUGUUAUUAGGGAAGAACAUACGUGUAGGUAACUGUGCACGUCUUGACGGUACCUAAUCAGAAAGCCACGGCUAACUACGUG
This 497-nucleotide ribosomal RNA is filed under the name uncultured bacterium. RNAcentral describes it as "partial 16S ribosomal RNA". It matches the Rfam family "Bacterial small subunit ribosomal RNA", at positions 28 to 507 of the family's 1533-position model. The record is from RNAcentral.